GCAAGUCGAGGGGUAACAGGGAGAAGCUUGCUUUUCCGCUGACGACCGGCGCACGGGUGCGAAACGCGUAUAGAACCUACCUUUUACUGAGGGAUAGACUUUAGAAAUAAAGAUUAAUACCUCAUAGUAUUUUAGAUUGGCAUCGAUUUAAAAGUAAAGAUUUAUUGGUAAAAGAUGGCUAUGCGUCCUAUUAGUUAGUUGGUGAGGUAACGGCUCACCAAGACAGCGAUAGGUAGGGGUCCUGAGAGGGAGAUC
This 255-nucleotide ribosomal RNA is filed under the name uncultured bacterium. Its description in RNAcentral is "partial 16S ribosomal RNA". It matches the Rfam family "Bacterial small subunit ribosomal RNA", at positions 57 to 305 of the family's 1533-position model. The record is from RNAcentral.